GAUGUUAAAAAAGAAAAAUUUUAAUAGAAGAAAAUUUGGGAUAAAAUUAAGGAAAAUCGAUAGACAUAUAGAGAAGUUUAUAACAGCUUGCUAUUUAAGGCUUAUGGGCUUAGGUGGGCCUAAAGGAGUCUAAUGGACUCUAUUUCAGUUCAAUUUUGGAGUUAAAUGGAAAAAGGAUGGAUAAGGAUGAGGAAGCAAAUAGAAGACCGUUGGAUUAAUCGGGCCCAUUUUUGUCUUUGUAUGUGUGAAAAUAACCCUUAGCCAUUCAGUUUUUCCCCUUUGAACUUUGACCGUCUAAUCUAAGAUUUCAUUAAUGGCUUUUUGGUCUUUUUACAUUUCCUUAAAUUUUGGCUUUAGAUCAUUUUAGGCAAGAUGCAAUCUAGACUGUCCAUUUGACUUUUAGUCAUGAAAGGAUUUGGGUCCUUCAAUCAGAUGAUAUGGGAGUGAAUGGGUUUUGGUCGUCCAAUCUAGCCCACGAACGAUAGGGGUGAACUUUGCUUUAGACACUGCUUAUUUUU
This 518-nucleotide long non-coding RNA is filed under the name Carica papaya (papaya). RNAcentral describes it as "long non-coding RNA (CPAP_LNC016405)". Lineage: Eukaryota; Viridiplantae; Streptophyta; Magnoliopsida; Brassicales; Caricaceae. The record is from RNAcentral.